UGCCUUGUACUUAUCAGUCAGUCCUGGCUGAAAAAGUUUGAUUACUAUAAGAUCAUCUUAAUUUCUUUCUAUGUAGAAGGAACAGCAUCCAUUGUAAUGUUACUCCUGGGAAAGCAAUACUAUUACUGUUUGGCUCUUUAUCUCACUAUUAUCAUGGUUAUCGUGUGAGCUUCGGUUUCCUUGUUUACCCUGCCACUAGCUGACAUGGUUGAUGCAGAUUUACUAAAGUUUAAUCAGCAGUCACCCCUUCCUUCAGUGGUUUUGGCAUUAAUGCUUUGUUUACCAAAUCUGCCCAGUCUUUAGCGCCCAUGGUGAUACUCUCUAGGCUAAACCAGUAUGAAUAUGGAAACACAAAUAGCAGCUAAAGUAAAAAAAGCUCUUGAAAUAAUGUAAAAGAAACAUGAAAGCAAACACAGCCUUUUACGUUAAUUACUAAGCAAUUAUCUUGACCUUUGUAUAUUAUUAGUCACUAACUUGUAUCUUGAGUAAGGUAUAAUAAAAAGUAUUAGUAUCAAA
Gorilla gorilla gorilla (western lowland gorilla) is the source of this 516-nucleotide long non-coding RNA. RefSeq lists it as uncharacterized. The transcript is spliced from 3 exons. Lineage: Eukaryota; Metazoa; Chordata; Mammalia; Primates; Hominidae. The record is from RefSeq and is a predicted model, not a curated record.